Non-coding RNA from Dipodomys spectabilis (banner-tailed kangaroo rat), 579 nucleotides. The record is from the annotation of a RefSeq genome assembly. Lineage: Eukaryota; Metazoa; Chordata; Mammalia; Rodentia; Heteromyidae.
CCUCCUGCACUGCCUCACCAUGGGCACCAGCCUGCCAGCCUGGGUGUCCCUGUGUCUCCUGGGGAUGGCACUCACAGAAGCUGGGGUCACUCAGUCUCCCAGAUACAAGAUCACAGAGAAAAGCCAAGCUGUGUCUCUUUGGUGUGAUCCAGUUUCUGGUCACAAUGUCCUCUUCUGGUACAGGCAGAGCCCGGGACAGGGCCCAGAGAGGCUGCUUUAUUUUCAGAACAAGGAUAUGAGUGAGGAUGCCCAGUUGCCCAAAGAUCGGUUUUCUGCACAGAGGCCUGAAGGUGCAGACUCCACCCUGAAGAUUCAGCCUGCACAGCUGGAGGACUCAGCGGUGUAACUCUGUGCCAGCAGCUUAGACACAGCCAGGCAGGGACCGUUUCCUGCUGUGCACAAAGCUCUGUGCUUCUCUGCCUCUGUGCAGCUCAGAGCUGCCCUGCACAGAGCCUGCACUUUCCUCACCAUCUGAGGAAGGAGGAGGAGGCCCGUCUUCAGAUGCAGGCUUCACUCAUGUCAGGAGAGGGCAGGCAUUGCUUCUUGAGACAUGAGGGCUGCAUUGUGUGAAAAGGAUAU